CAGUCGCCGCGGGAAAACGAAGGGCGCAAGCGUUACUCGGAAUUACUGGGCGUAAAGCGUGCGUAGGUGGUGGUUUAAGUCCGUUGUGAAAGCCCUGGGCUCAACCUGGGAAUUGCAGUGGAUACUGGGUCACUAGAGUGUGGUAGAGGAUAGUGGAAUUUCCGGUGUAGCAGUGAAAUGCGUAGAGAUCGGAAGGAACAUCUGUGGCGAAGGCGACUAUCUGGGCCAACACUGACACUGAGGCACGAAAGCGUGGGGAGCAAACAGGAUUAGAUACCCGAGUAGUCCCUGUCUCUUAUAC
This 301-nucleotide ribosomal RNA is filed under the name uncultured bacterium. RNAcentral's name for it is "partial 16S ribosomal RNA". It matches the Rfam family "Bacterial small subunit ribosomal RNA", at positions 509 to 807 of the family's 1533-position model. The record is from RNAcentral.